This is a long non-coding RNA of Salvelinus sp. IW2-2015, 532 nucleotides long. RefSeq lists it as uncharacterized. The record is from RefSeq and is a predicted model, not a curated record. Lineage: Eukaryota; Metazoa; Chordata; Actinopteri; Salmoniformes; Salmonidae.
CUUUUUUUGUUGUAAACUUCAUGUAGGUGUAAGUCUGACCAUUUUUUAUCCCCAUAAUGCAACACACACUUUGAAAGGCACAGACUUGACAAAAGUGAUCCGCUUGAAGGCGGAUAACUAAGGCCUAGGGGAGGUGAACAGUGAUGCAUGUUGGGUAGUGUAGCUCUCUGACCUCUCCCCAUCGUCCUCCAGUCCCUGCUAGAUGACUACGGCCUGCGGGAGGUGACCAGUGCAGCGGAGGCGGUGAAGCAGGCGGUGGAUCAGGGGCAGUACCUGAAGGCCACAGAGCUCUGGUCUGUCACUGAGAGUGUCGUGAACAGAACACAAACGGAGUCAACUUCUACAACAUCCUCACCCAGGAACCUGAUGAGAAGAUGUCCUCCUGCCUGGAGAAGGAUACCUCUCCCUGCUGAUGCGGCACCACAUUAGCCCCUCUCACCGCCAAUCACUGAGCCAGUUGAUGACGGGCCAAUCAGGAAGAAGCUGGGAAUCAUCCCUCAGAACGUCACCUGGGGAGGUCAGGCUGAGGCAG